Beta vulgaris subsp. vulgaris (sugar beet) is the source of this 834-nucleotide long non-coding RNA. RefSeq lists it as uncharacterized. The record is from RefSeq and is a predicted model, not a curated record. Lineage: Eukaryota; Viridiplantae; Streptophyta; Magnoliopsida; Caryophyllales; Amaranthaceae. The transcript is spliced from 2 exons.
CCUAAACAAACACCCCCUGAGGGUAUUAUAGAAGGACAUCCCAAUGAUUCUCAUUUGCUCCAGGUGAAGGUCAAAUGGUUAGAGUAAAAAAGAGAGGCAAUAUAAAUAAGAUUGAUGCAUAAAAGGAUAAUUUUGGUUCCAGAAAUAGUUUUAUGACUUUUAUCUUAUUUUUUACCUUACUUAUCUAAUCUUAGGCGGAUAUAUGGAGUUGGUAGAUGCAAUCCUUAGGUGCGUAUGCCUUUUAACAUUGAUGAUAGUUAUUAAUUUGCAAACUUCUAAAUUUUUGUCAAUUUAUUUUAUCUGAUUCUAUUUUCCUCUACUGUUCUUAUUAGUUUUUGUUUAGACUAGUGAUAAUACCUCCAUACUCAAAUGUGUUGUUUAAGUCUUUCUUAUGUUGCAGAUGUUAUCAGUUACUAAUAAAAAACAAUAAUAUGAUGGGUUGGAGAUCGUAAAAAGGCGGACUGAACAACGUUUGUAUAGUUGCAAGGAGUAUCAACUUAAAAAAGAUCUACUUCGCUUUUAUGCCUAUUAUGCAACAAAUUAUCCAUGGCAAGAGCUUUGCCAAUAAGAGCUUUGGGAGUAGGUUCUUGUUUUCAUCAUCUAAGUCGUUUUUUCUCAUGGUUUGCAAUAAAACUAAGGUUUUAUAAACAAAAUCUCUUUAGUUUAAGAAUGAGCUGGCGAAGCACGUUGCUGCUGGUGGCGUUCAGAAGUAGGUCGUGGAAAGCAGGCAACCCUUUAUAUCUGAAGAAGGUGAAUUUUGGUGGUUCGAAAUUGUGAGUGCGGGUUUACCAAUUGAAUUGUUGGAACGAAAUUGUUGUAUGUAUGCUUGAAUUU